AAUAGGGGGAUUUAGCAACGAGUACGACUACGAGUACGAGAUUUGAUCGCGUGCGAGGAAAUCACCGUGGUCGUUCUCGUUUCCGUUCAAAUGUUGCUUUUAUAGUAGUAAACAAACGAAAGAAAAGUUUCUAUAAACUAAAUCUCCUGCAGGCUAAAAUCCACUACAAAAUGUGCAAAUAAGUCAUAACAUUAAAAACAAGCCAGAUAUUUAGUACUAAAAGAUUAUUUUUCCCGGAUAAACGCUACAAAUUAUUUUUGAAAAACAAAAAAAAAAGCCAACUUCCAACUUUGCUUUUUGAAAAGUCGUCGUGAGGACUACGAGACUUCUCCACAACAAAGAUUAAGUAUAUAAAGAUGGCCGACUCGCGGAAAAUUCUGUCCCCAC
This is a non-coding RNA of Paramuricea clavata, 387 nucleotides long. Lineage: Eukaryota; Metazoa; Cnidaria; Anthozoa; Malacalcyonacea; Plexauridae. The record is from the annotation of a GenBank genome assembly.